UACAGAGGAUGCAAGCGUUGUUCGGAAUCACUGGGCGUAAAGCGCACGUAGGCGGACUUUCAAGUCAGGGGUGAAAUCCCGGAGCUCAACUUCGGAAUUGCCUUUGAUACUGUUGGUCUCGAGUCCGGAAGAGGUGGGUGGAAUUCCUAGUGUAGAGGUGAAAUUCGUAGAUAUUAGGAAGAACACCGGUGGCGAAGGCGGCCCACUGGUCCGGUACUGACGCUGAGGUGCGAAAGCGUGGGGAGCAAACAGG
Molecule: ribosomal RNA, 253 nt
Filed under: uncultured bacterium
Lineage: Bacteria
Description: partial 16S ribosomal RNA
Rfam family: Bacterial small subunit ribosomal RNA
Source: RNAcentral